AGCACAAAGAAAGCUUUCUAUCAGUGCGCAGUGUAACGACGCACACGGUUCGACUGUUUGACUGAAUCUCUCCUAACCUAACACACAAAAUGUCACGAAUUUGUCAAGUUUCAAGUCAUAUUUUGUUUAGUAUAAUAAUUACAUUCAUUUAGUUACGCAACUUGUUUAUAGCGAUAAUUGUAGAAAAGUGUAGAAAAAUAACACCAUGACGAAGGUUACCAAAUAGCAUAUCUUACAAAAUCUGAGGACAAUAAUAAGGAUCGUUUAGCAAGGUUAAAAUAAUUAUUUUACUAAAUUAAGACAUUAACAUAUCCAUGUGUUCGACAUAACCUCACUUCUUAAAUCUCUUAAAUUAGUCGGUGGAGAGGAUUAGCUCGAGGAUGAUUGUCUGAAUAUGUAAGUCACUACAUAUAUAAUAGCUAUAGAGAUAAUAGCAGAUCAUGCUGCUAAACAAGCAAGAUUGCAGGAUAGUGUAGAUGCUCUGAAUGGUAGUAUGGCUGUCAUACUACGAUACAUUAGUGAUGUUCAGAACCCGAUCACUCAGGCAACGACAAUUAACAUGUCGUUGCAUAAUCAAGUGGACCUAAUCCUGCCUUUAAAGACUCUUGAUGAGUUCAAAGCGAUGGAACAGCGACUGAAAGAGGAUACAGAGCUCUGCACAGAAUAUAUGUUGUGCGCAAACAACACACCAGGAUCUGCGACAGCACUUUCCAGAAGGUAGUCUCGGACUGGUUUCGAUAUGCUCGGCAGCGCCAUGUCCGAGCUAAACACUAGACUUAAAACAUUCUUAGUCUCUAGACCACCAACCCGGAUAAAUGGACAAUGUGAGUUUGUUUCCAUGUCAUUACAGUUUCAUUAUAGAAAUUACAUAUAUUUUUUUUUUACAGGAACUCUGAAUUUCAAGUAUGUGGUAAAUGUAAGUAUGUGUCCAUUAUAUAUACAUAACCUAAUGAUAUUACAGGAAACUUUCUGCAUUUGUUCCAGGGUUCCUGGAUGCAAUAGUAGAAGAAUGGAUUGGAACGGAUUUAUUUGUCAUCGUUUAGGAUAAG
Long non-coding RNA from Ctenocephalides felis (cat flea), 1049 nucleotides. RefSeq lists it as uncharacterized. The record is from RefSeq and is a predicted model, not a curated record. The transcript is spliced from 4 exons. Lineage: Eukaryota; Metazoa; Arthropoda; Insecta; Siphonaptera; Pulicidae.